CGCAAUGGGCGAAAGCCUGAAGGAGCAAUGCCGCGUGCGGGAUGAAGGCCCUCGGGUUGUAAACCGCAAAAGUAAGGCGGAAGGCUUUGUGAAGAGCAAAGUUUGACCAAUCUACAGUAAGGACGGGCUAAGUUCGUGCCAGCAGCCGCGGUAAGACGAACCGUCCAAACGUUAUUCGGAAUUAUUGGGCUUAAAGGGUGCGUAGGCGGUGCUGUAAGUCAGGUGUGAAAUCCCACGGCUCAACCGUGGAACUGCGCUUGAUACUGCAGUGCUUGAGGGAGACAGAGGUGAGCGGAACUGAUGGUGGAGCGGUGAAAUGCGUUGAUAUCAUCAGGAACACCAGUGGCGAAAGCGGCUCACUGGGUCUCUUCUGACGCUGAGGCACGAAAGCUAGGGUAGCGAAAGGGAUUAGAUACCCCU
RNAcentral lists this ribosomal RNA (420 nucleotides) under uncultured bacterium. RNAcentral describes it as "bacterial SSU rRNA". It matches the Rfam family "Bacterial small subunit ribosomal RNA", at positions 367 to 789 of the family's 1533-position model. The record is from RNAcentral.